UACAGAGGUGGCAACCGUUGUUCGGAAUCACUGGGCUUAAAGCGCAUGUAGGCGGAAUUGCAAGUCAGUUGUGAAAGCCCAUGACUUACUCAUGGAAUGGCAACUGAAACUACGGUCCUUGAGUGCGGGAGGGGAGAGUGGAACUCCCAGUGGAGCGGUGAAAUGCGUUGAUAUUGGGAGGAACACCGGUGGCGAAAGCGUCUCUCUAGUCCGCUACUGACGCUGAGAUGCGAAAGCUAGGGGAGCAAACGGG
Molecule: ribosomal RNA, 253 nt
Filed under: uncultured bacterium
Lineage: Bacteria
Description: partial 16S ribosomal RNA
Rfam family: Bacterial small subunit ribosomal RNA
Source: RNAcentral